CGUAGGGGGCAAGCGUUGUCCGGAUUUACUGGGCGUAAAGCGCGUGUAGGCGGCCAUGCAGGUCCGUUGUGAAAACUGGAGGCUCAACCUCCAGACGUCGACGGAAACCGUGUGGCUAGAGUCCGGAAGAGGAGAGUGGAAUUCCUGGUGUAGCGGUGAAAUGCGCAGAUAUCAGGAAGAACACCAAUGGCGAAGGCAGCUCUCUGGGACGGUACUGACGCUGAGACGCGAAAGCGUGGGGAGCGAACAGGAUUAGAUACCCUGGUAGUCCACGCCGUAAACGAUGGGUGCUAGGUGUGGGAGGUGUCGACUCCUUCCGUGCCGUAGCUAACGCAUUAAGCACCCCGCCUGGGGAGUACGGCCGCAAGGCUA
RNAcentral lists this ribosomal RNA (372 nucleotides) under uncultured organism. RNAcentral's name for it is "bacterial SSU rRNA". It matches the Rfam family "Bacterial small subunit ribosomal RNA", at positions 526 to 896 of the family's 1533-position model. The record is from RNAcentral.